UCAAAAAUUAUAAAUAUUACAAGAUAUCAAUUACCUGUAGAAUAGAAGGACGGAAUACUACGCUGUAUUUAAAUUCUGUAUCUUAUCUUUUUCGUGAGAUUGCUUAAGAUGUGUGGAUGAAAUGAUUAAAUAAAGGAAAAGCGAAACACGACUUAUAAAAAUAAAAGACAUUACAGUCAAAUGGCAGAAAUUUCUGAUUCUGCCUGCUGAAUUGGUAUGUCUGCUGUUACAUUCAUGUUUUAUGAAGCACUCUAUAUACAUAAAUGUAUACGCGAGUGUAUUUCGCUGACGAUUUCAACUGGAGCCGUUCCACGGGUUGUAGAAACGAAACGGAACGAAACGCUAACCGAGUCCAUAGACUACUGCGACGCACUAACGGUUGCACGUUUGUCAUUCUGCCAGAAAUUCGUCGUCCUUUGUUGCAGCAAAUGUUACGCGUGCAUUUCCGGCGUGCUUGUAUGAGAGUAAAUCGAGACCGAAGUGAACGAUUGUGCCAAGCCAAGGUGCAACAAACGGAGUUUCAUAAAAUAAUGACGUCAAUCGCCGACAGAGGGAAAAAAUGUUGGAACAUUCACUGCGAACGUAACAUUAUGUCAUAGGAUGUUUUACGUCGCUGAAGAUAUUACGUGAAAGGACGUAAAUUAUAGUGAAAUCGGCGGAAUGGGUGAAGCGAAGAGUCGCGUCUCUAAUAUUAUUGAAAAAAGCUGUUUCAAGAAUGAUUUGUAUCUCAAUGGUUAUUAUUAUACGCAUACGUUUAAGGAUUUUAUUAUGUAAAUUCAUUUCCAACUGCUUUCUACUAUAUUUGUACGAGAAUCACGUUUCAUGGAAACAAAUAAAUAGGUUACAAGUACCAA
Long non-coding RNA from Bombus huntii, 854 nucleotides. RefSeq lists it as uncharacterized. The record is from RefSeq and is a predicted model, not a curated record. Lineage: Eukaryota; Metazoa; Arthropoda; Insecta; Hymenoptera; Apidae. The transcript is spliced from 2 exons.